UGAAUUGUAGACUAAUUGGCAAGUCACCUAGAUUUGAGCUAGGCUUAUGUACGUUCGAAUCGUGCCGAUUCAU
This 73-nucleotide transfer RNA is filed under the name Millerozyma farinosa. Its description in RNAcentral is "transfer RNA-Gln". Lineage: Eukaryota; Fungi; Ascomycota; Pichiomycetes; Serinales; Debaryomycetaceae. The record is from RNAcentral.